RNAcentral lists this ribosomal RNA (253 nucleotides) under uncultured bacterium. RNAcentral describes it as "partial 16S ribosomal RNA". It matches the Rfam family "Bacterial small subunit ribosomal RNA", at positions 524 to 776 of the family's 1533-position model. The record is from RNAcentral.
UACAGAGGGAGCUAGCGUUGUUCGGAAUUACUGGGCGUAAAGCGCACGUAGGCGGCUUUGUAAGUUAGGGGUGAAAGCCCGGGGCUCAACUCCGGAAUUGCCUUUAAGACUGCAUCGCUUGAAUCCGGGAGAGGUGAGUGGAAUUCCGAGUGUAGAGGUGAAAUUCGUAGAUAUUCGGAAGAACACCAGUGGCGAAGGCGGCUCACUGGACCGGUAUUGACGCUGAGGUGCGAAAGCGUGGGGAGCAAACAGG